RNAcentral lists this ribosomal RNA (662 nucleotides) under Microbacterium foliorum. RNAcentral describes it as "bacterial SSU rRNA". It matches the Rfam family "Bacterial small subunit ribosomal RNA", at positions 74 to 748 of the family's 1533-position model. Lineage: Bacteria; Bacillati; Actinomycetota; Actinomycetes; Micrococcales; Microbacteriaceae. The record is from RNAcentral.
CGGAGCUUGCUCUGUGGGAUCAGUGGCGAACGGGUGAGUAACACGUGAGCAACCUGCCCCUGACUCUGGGAUAAGCGCUGGAAACGGCGUCUAAUACUGGAUACGAGUAGCGGCCGCAUGGUCAGUUACUGGAAAGAUUUUUUGGUUGGGGAUGGGCUCGCGGCCUAUCAGCUUGUUGGUGAGGUAAUGGCUCACCAAGGCGUCGACGGGUAGCCGGCCUGAGAGGGUGACCGGCCACACUGGGACUGAGACACGGCCCAGACUCCUACGGGAGGCAGCAGUGGGGAAUAUUGCACAAUGGGCGAAAGCCUGAUGCAGCAACGCCGCGUGAGGGAUGACGGCCUUCGGGUUGUAAACCUCUUUUAGCAGGGAAGAAGCGAAAGUGACGGUACCUGCAGAAAAAGCGCCGGCUAACUACGUGCCAGCAGCCGCGGUAAUACGUAGGGCGCAAGCGUUAUCCGGAAUUAUUGGGCGUAAAGAGCUCGUAGGCGGUUUGUCGCGUCUGCUGUGAAAUCCCGAGGCUCAACCUCGGGCCUGCAGUGGGUACGGGCAGACUAGAGUGCGGUAGGGGAGAUUGGAAUUCCUGGUGUAGCGGUGGAAUGCGCAGAUAUCAGGAGGAACACCGAUGGCGAAGGCAGAUCUCUGGGCCGUAACUGACGCUG